AAAAUUCUAUUUUAUUUAGUGAAUGGUACAACUGUAGAUACAAAUACAAAUAACCAAACAUCAGAAGCUAAUACUUCUAAAUCACAAGAUGGAGAUAGCUCUCAAGUUGAUAAAAAAAAGGAAGAAGAGACAAAAGAAGUUAACUCUUCAGAUGCCAUAGAAAGUAAUACAAAGAAACCUUCUGAAAAUAAUACAAAGAAGCUAUCAGAAAACAACACAGAAAAAACUUCGGAACAAACAGAUAAAUCAGAAGAAUCUUGUUUGGAAGAUAAGUCAAGUAGUGAAGUUUCUGCAGAAAGACAAAAUACUUAGGUAUAUGAUCUAUAAAUACGAAUCCAGCCAUCUGGACCUCGUGUGAUAACAAUAACGGUUGUACAAAGUAUAGAUACUUACUUGUAUAUGUAUGUAUGAGUGUUGAACGUCAUAAGAAGUGGACUACGACCAAUACUAAAGAAAGAUAGUAUUUGUCACCAUUUUUUGUGCAUUUGUUUUUUCAGAUGAUAACAUAUUCAUUUUAUUGGUUAAUGUAGACUUCAUCUUGCAUAGAGCAUAUUUAUUCCAACGGAAAAAAUAACAUUUUUCAUUGCCAUUUUAUAAAACUAUAAUUUUUUUUUAUGUUUAAAUCAUAUUAAAAAACCAAGCACCCGUUUUCAUAAAAAAAACACUUAAUCAUCCCAUAGAAAAUGUUUAUACAAAAUGUUAUUGAGCAGUGACAUGUAAAAAAUAUCAUAUUAUAAAUCACAUCUAGAUCAUAUUUGAUAUUUACUUAUCACCAAAAAAAAAUGAUUGUGUUAACCAGGUCUUAACUUGGUUUUUAUGAAAUAAUCAUUUGCUUUAAAAUGUUGCAUAUCAGAUAAUACAUUGUUUUGUCUAUGCAACUGAAUACUCUGAAUAAAUAAAGUGUUUACAUAAAAAGUUUUUUUUUCCUGUUUUAUUGUAUAAAAUAAAAGACAUUUUUAAAA
Molecule: long non-coding RNA, 962 nt
Organism: Centruroides sculpturatus (bark scorpion)
Lineage: Eukaryota; Metazoa; Arthropoda; Arachnida; Scorpiones; Buthidae
Exons: 2
Source: RefSeq, a predicted model, not a curated record